GUCACCAUGUAGCUGAAGAUGACCUUGAACUUCUAAUCCUGGCUCUGCUCCCCAUUUCUGGGAUUACAGGCUUGGGCGACUACAUUCCAUUUGCAAUGUUUGGAUGAUACCCAGCACCUCAUAUGUUCAACAAAUGCUCCCCCACACCAUCCUGCCUAGUGUGCCUGAACCGCGCUCAGGAAACGGGUAAUGUCGAGGAGUAAACGUAUGAUAAAUGUGA
Long non-coding RNA from Mus caroli (Ryukyu mouse), 220 nucleotides. RefSeq lists it as uncharacterized. Lineage: Eukaryota; Metazoa; Chordata; Mammalia; Rodentia; Muridae. The record is from RefSeq and is a predicted model, not a curated record.